The sequence is a ribosomal RNA, 1009 nucleotides long. It matches the Rfam family "Eukaryotic small subunit ribosomal RNA", at positions 87 to 1104 of the family's 1831-position model.
CUGCGAAUGGCUCAUUAAAUCAGUUAUCGUUUAUUUGAUAGUACCUUACUACUUGGAUACCCGUGGUAAUUCUAGAGCUAAUACAUGCUAAAAACCCCGACUUCGGAAGGGGUGUGUUUAUUAGAUAAAAAACCAAUGCCCUUCGGGGCUGCUUGGUGAUUCAUGAUAACCAAACGAAUCGCAUGGCCUUGAGCCGGCGAUGGUUCAUUCAAAUUUCUGCCCUAUCAACUUUCGAUGGUAGGAUCUGGGCCUACCAUGGUAUCAACGGGUAACGGGGAAUUAGGGUUCGAUUCCGGAGAGGGAGCCUGAGAAACGGCUACCACAUCCAAGGAAGGCAGCAGGCGCGCAAAUUACCCAAUCCCGACACGGGGAGGUAGUGACAAUAAAUACUGAUACAGGGCUCUUUUGGGUCUUGUAAUUGGAAUGAGUACAAUUUAAAUUCCUUAACGAGGAACAAUUGGAGGGCAAGUCUGGUGCCAGCAGCCGCGGUAAUUCCAGCUCCAAUAGCGUAUAUUAAAGUUGUUGCAGUUAAAAAGCUCGUAGUUGAACCUUGGGCCAGGCUGGCCGGUCCGCCUAACCGCGUGUACUGGUCCGGCCGGGCCCUUUCCUCUGGGGAGCCGCAUGCCCUUCACUGGGCGUGUCGGGGAACCAGGACUUUUACUGUGAAAAAAUUAGAGUGUUCAAAGCAGGCCUUUGCUCGGAUACAUUAGCAUGGAAUAAUAGAAUAGGACGUGCGGUCCUAUUUUGUUGGUUUCUAGAACCGCCGUAAUGAUUAAUAGGGACAGUCGGGGGCAUCAGUAUUCAGACGCGAGAGGUGAAAUUCUUAGACCGUCUGAAGACUAACUACUGCGAAAGCAUUUGCCAAGGAUGUUUUCAUUAAUCAGUGAACGAAAGUUGGGGGAUCGAAGACGAUCAGAUACCGUCGUAGUCUCAACCGUAAACUAUGCCGACUAGGGAUCGGGCGACGUUCCAAUUAUGACUCGCCCGGCACCUUACGAGAAAUCAAAGU